Molecule: ribosomal RNA, 739 nt
Filed under: uncultured archaeon
Lineage: Archaea
Description: bacterial SSU rRNA
Rfam family: Archaeal small subunit ribosomal RNA
Source: RNAcentral
GCCUCCACCCGGUGGAGGCGCGGCGCACAGCUCAGCCAUACAAGGCUAACCUACCCUUGGGACGGGGACAACCCCGGGAAACUGGGGCUAAUCCCCGAUAGGUGAGGACUCCUGGAAUGGGUCCUCGCCGAAAGGGCGUCUAGACCAUGCUUCUAGGCGCUGCCCAAGGAUGGGGCCGCGGCCGAUCAGGUAGUUGGUGAGGUAACGGCUCACCAAGCCUAAGACCGGUACGGGCCGUGAGAGCGGGAGCCCGGAGAUGGACACUGAGACAAGGGUCCAGGCCCUACGGGGCGCAGCAGUCGCGAAACCUCCGCAAUACGCGAAAGCGUGACGGGGCCACCCCGAGUGCCGUCCGCUGAGGACGGCUUUUCCCCAGUGUAGACAGCUGGGGGAAUAAGGGGAGGGCAAGUCGGGUGUCAGCCGCCGCGGUAAUACCCGCUCCCCGAGUGGUGGGGACGCUUAUUGGGCCUAAAGCAUCCGUAGCCGGCUGGAUAAGUCCCCUGUUAAAUCCAGCGAUUCAAUCGCUGGACUGCGGGGGAUACUGUCCAGCUAGGGGGCGGGAGAGGCCGGCGGUAUUCCCGGGGUAGGGGUGAAAUCUUAUAAUCCCGGGAGGACCACCAGUGGCGAAGGCUGCCGGCUGGAACGCGCCCGACGGUGAGGGAUGAAAGCUGGGGGAGCGAACCGGAUUAGAUACCCGGGUAGUCCCAGCUGUAAACGAUGCGGGCUAAGUGUUGGCACG